RNAcentral lists this ribosomal RNA (567 nucleotides) under Eudendrium bermudense. RNAcentral describes it as "partial large subunit ribosomal RNA". It matches the Rfam family "Bacterial large subunit ribosomal RNA", at positions 1886 to 2608 of the family's 2925-position model. The record is from RNAcentral. Lineage: Eukaryota; Metazoa; Cnidaria; Hydrozoa; Anthoathecata; Eudendriidae.
UUUUUAAUUAAAAAUAAUAAAAGUAUUUUAAUAAAACUAAAAGGAUGCGGUAACCCUAACUGUAAUAAAGUAGCAUAAUCACUCGCCAUUUAAUUGGUGGAUAGUAUGAAUGGUUUAACGAAUAUUACACUGUCUAAAAUAUAAAUCUCAUAAAAAUGAAAUAAUAGUAAAGAUGCUAUUUAAAAUUGUAAGACGAAAAGACCCUAUAGAGCUUAACUAUUAUCUUUUCAAUAAAAACAAAUUUACUUUGAAUUAAAAAAGAUAGGUAGUUUAGUUGGGGCGACUAUUUUUUAAAGAAAACAAAAAUAAACAAUAUUAAUAAUAAAAUUUACUGUAUAAAAAACAAAUUUAACAGUUACUAAAGUAGGUUAUAAUGACCCGAUUAUAUUUUAUAAUUAAAUAAACGAUCAUUGAAUAAAAGCUACCUUAGGGAUAACAGAAUAAUCUUAUUUAAGAGAUCAUAUCAAAAAUAAGGUUUAUCACCUCUAUGUUGAAUUAAGAUAUCCUAAUAGUGCAGAAGCUAUUAAAGGUAGGUCUGUUCGACCUUUAAAAUCUUACAUGAUUUGA